UACGAAGGGGGCUAGCGUUGCUCGGAAUCACUGGGCGUAAAGCGCACGUAGGCGGACUCUUAAGUCGGUGGUGAAAUCCUGGAGCUCAACUCCAGAACUGCCUUUGAUACUGAAAGUCUUGAGUACGGGAGAGGUGAGUGGAACUGCGAGUGUAGAGGUGAAAUUCGUAGAUAUUCGCAAGAACACCAGUGGCGAAGGCGGCUCACUGGCCCGUAACUGACGCUGAGGCACGAAAGCGUGGGGAGCAAACAGG
Molecule: ribosomal RNA, 253 nt
Filed under: uncultured bacterium
Lineage: Bacteria
Description: partial 16S ribosomal RNA
Rfam family: Bacterial small subunit ribosomal RNA
Source: RNAcentral